Molecule: long non-coding RNA, 3668 nt
Organism: Dromaius novaehollandiae (emu)
Lineage: Eukaryota; Metazoa; Chordata; Aves; Casuariiformes; Dromaiidae
Exons: 3
Source: RefSeq, a predicted model, not a curated record
CAGUUUCAUCUGAGCAACACAGGACCACGUGGAACGCUUUUGAAACACGUGUUCGGAAAAAGCAAUCCUUAUUUGCGCCCAGAUGUGCGAUCCCCCAGCUGCAGCCCGGGGAAGCUGGGCACAGGGCUCUGCUCACCAGGAGCCUAAGAGCUCCUCUGUAAAAACGAUCCUCCGUCUCCUCCUAGACCCUGCAGUCAUUGCUAGACCUGGAAAAGCCGGAGAGUUCAGAUUUGAACAUGUGGAUUUUUUCAGAAUGAAAGAGAGAGAGAAAUAGAUUAUUUCGGCUAUAGAUUUUCUGGCUCCUUUUGAGACUGCAGAGGAUGCCGAUUUACCCAAAUCACGGCAACGUUUGGGGAAGCAGCAUGCACUCCCACGGUUUUGCAAAGAGGAGGUGGGGAAGGUCUCGCGACUCGGCGGCAGCCUCUGGCACUGCUCCCCGUCCCGAACUCGGCGUGGUUUGCUAAGUCACCAUCGAAGACGAACGGCGUGGGAAAUGGUGAAGGAGGACGUUAGUCUGUAAAUUUUUCUUUUUAACACAUAUAUUUCUUAUCAGGCAGCUCUUUCAAAUCCUGUUUCGGAAAAGCGUCGCAAGCUUGGUAUUUGAAAAGAACUCUCUUGGUUUUUUUUUUUCUUCAUCUUGAAUUUGUGUGUGUCAUGGAAAAAAGUUUUGUGACGUCCCUGGCCGCCUGCCCUCUCACGGGACUUUGGUUCAGCGCUGCAUCUGCUAGUUCUGCUUUCCAAUCUCCAGCUGCUAAAUCCCGUACUGCUGGCUGGCGAUGCUGCCGCAGGGUCGCAGAGACCGCUUACGCCAGAGGACCCGGGAGUUCUCGGAUCAAGAACCAACCCAGCCUUUGCUUGCAACCCUUGGACAGCCAAAACCCUCCAGCAGACCGAGAAGCCCUUACCGUUAAUCAACAGCGGGAGAUUAAAGAUCAGAGCUACUACCAGUCUGCAGUGCAUUUGGUGGUUCCUCUGCCUUUCCACCCAUGCACAUGUCCCAGCCUAGAAGGGGCAACGCCGAGCGGAAGGUAAGCUCCUCGGACCAGACUCCGCUAAAGUCUUGGAAGGGAGCAGCUUUCGAGGUGAGGUUACUUGAGCAAAAUCCCGCAGCUGCAGUUUGGAAAUGGAAGCAGAUAAAGCUCGUCUAGAAGAACGAUCCAUGUCAUUAAACUCAAUAAACUUUGCAUCUACCCUUCUACUUAACUGGAAGUGAUGGUUGCUCUACAUCUUAUUUUGAAGGAGAAGGCUCAUUCGCUUCUUCAGCAACACGACUGUCUGUGCAGACCUCGAGUCGCCUGCUCGGGCAGCACGGGGCUUUGCAGCAGGGCCUGGAUGCUCUGGCUGGAAGCGCUGGGGCUGGUCUUCACCAGGCCGUGCGCUUCGCACGGGGCGUUCGCAGUCCACCUUCCCGCAGAAGUGAAACGGAGACCGUCAGAACGAGUGACGCACUGGGGAUGUGCGAUUUUUAAAGACGCCAACUUGUUGCAAUCAAACCCAGUUUUUGUCACAGUGUACGGUAACGCCGUUUGGCUGGUGGUUAUUUUUCUGCUGUGUUUCACCUCACUACUCGCAGCCACCGCAGCACUAGAGCGAUUCCAGAGAACCUUUUUUACUGUCAUGUAGCAAACACAGAAAACGUACGGUAUGAACAAAUGAAAACAAUAUUGCCACCUCAGCUUACUGCCCUCGCUCUCGUAUUAAUAACCAUAAGUGAAACUUCAUACAACACUGAUGUUUGAAAUCUUAUUUUAGAAACAACACUCUGCUUCUACUAAGCAGACAGUUCCCUUCCUCUCUCUCUUGGCUCAGCACGUUUUCAGCCAGCUUCCAAAAAAGUCGUUGCAAUGUGGAAGCGUUUUCCUGCAGAAAUUUGCAGAGGCAGCAAGCAGAAUGGAUUGAAGGAUUCAUGAAAAUAUAUUUCUUUCAUCCUUAAUACUUUCUCCGUGUGAAUCAUGAUAUUGAAAAAUUGUCAGGUCCUCAGAAGAGAGGUUAUUUAUCAAUAAUCAGGAGAACUUCGGUUGCUUGUGUGCCCAAAUAUUACUUCCUUUUAUUUAAACAAAAUAGCUGGCUUUGCAGGUAUCUUGUCAUUGACAAAUGUUUUAUUGACCUAAGUUGUUGUUCUGUGGGCUUUUAAAGAAAGUUCUCAAGCUUAUCCAAAAAAUGCAUGUUUUUAGCUCUUCUAAAGAGCUUUUGCUUUCACAAUAAUCAUAUUGCUCUUCAGCUCUUUGGAUACGCUUACUAGACCAUAAGACGCAGGUAGCUGGGUUUGUUGCCUCCGUUGCAGGUGAGCGUGCGAACAUUUUCCUUGGCGGAACUGGAAAAUGUUCCUGAGCGUUGGAACCCGUGGGGAUGAUAAAUAGCCACGUCAGUAUUUAACACUAGCCGAAAGCAUUUGAGACCAGAUUGAACUAAUUUUACUAGUAGUUAGGGUAAUUAAAUGUUUUCACCAGGAUGGAAAGUCAUGGUUUGAUUUUUGAAGUAAUUUGCUUGACAAAUAUCAGAUGUUAAAAUAAUUACAGCUUAACCAUUUAUAUUUAAUCUCAAGUGGACCUGUGAAAACAAGCUUCUAAAUUAUAUCAGAUUCAUACAUUAAUUGACUCAUAGAUUUUGGGACCAACGGGGACUGUUAUGGUCGUCCAGUCUGGCCUCCUGCCUAUGCGGUCAUGGAAUGCCACCAAGUAAUUUGUGUUUUCAACUCACAACCUCUGUUUUAGAAGAAAUCCCUGCAAAUUGAAAAGCUUGCAGUGAAUUCAUAGCAUUUGUAAUCUUAUUCGAUAGAAAAUCUGUAACGAUGCAGAAGUUCUGGUUGAGCUUGGAAAGAUAAGGCUUGCACAGGUAUUAUGUUUAUGGAGAUGUUCCCCAAACUUUUGCAGCCCUGUUGAGUGAUUUUUGGUACUGCUAACGUGGCAAGCAUCAGAUUGGCCCCACUCUUAGAGAUAAAAUGAGGCACCCGGUGAUAUUCUAACAACGCUGCAGGAACUACCUUUGUCUCAAAUCCACGCUCUGGUUUCCCUGUUCACCCAGUGUGAUGAUCGCUCUGUUGCGUUAUUUUCCGGGUGUGUCAGUCACAGGACAAUUUUGACUUGAAACUGAGGUUUGACACGGUUGUUUGUCAGACACCUGUUAUAAUGAACCUAGGCAAAUAAUUUACAGCAUUACUGUUAGGAAACUCAAAUUGGUAGUUAUAAAUUGCAGGAUUUUAUUCUUCUGAUAUAGAAUGCUAUAUCUUUCAUGCUGUAAAUCGCAGUGGUUCCAAUUGGCUAAGUCAUAAAUUGUUUGUACAGUUACAAUUUUGGUAAAAACAUAAUGUGAAUUUUAUUGCGUUUGAAUCUCUUGCUGCAUUUUUGAAACUUUAUAAAGCAAAAAUUCUGAAAUUAUUGAAAGCUAUGUAUAGAUUGUGCCUAGAAGAAAACAGGUAUUACUACAUGUAGAUAAAAAUGUACCACUUUCUCCCUGAAUAUAUUUGUUAUUGCAGUUUAAAAAAUAUCACCUCUCAUAUGCUAGUAACCUUAUGUACAUUACUUCACCUCUUCUGAUCUACAGAGACAAAAAACCUGUUAGCGUCCUUGAAGUUAAACAGGAAAGUGACUUAGUGUAAAGUCAGAAAUGACCCUAAUGGGGUCCUACGUGUUCUAAACUGGCUCUGGAUAUAUUGAAUUAAUAAAUAC